RNAcentral lists this ribosomal RNA (253 nucleotides) under uncultured bacterium. Its description in RNAcentral is "partial 16S ribosomal RNA". It matches the Rfam family "Bacterial small subunit ribosomal RNA", at positions 524 to 776 of the family's 1533-position model. The record is from RNAcentral.
UACAGAGGUCUCAAGCGUUGUUCGGAUUCAUUGGGCGUAAAGGGUGCGUAGGUGGUGAUGCAAGUCUGAUGUGAAAUCUCGGAGCUCAACUCCGAAAUUGCACCGGAUACUGCGUGACUCGAGGACUGUAGAGGAGAUCGGAAUUCACGGUGUAGCAGUGAAAUGCGUAGAUAUCGUGAGGAAGACCAGUUGCGAAGGCGGAUCUCUGGGCAGUUCCUGACACUGAGGCACGAAGGCCAGGGGAGCAAACGGG